Hippopotamus amphibius kiboko is the source of this 952-nucleotide RNA transcript. It is a transcript of the gene named ras-related protein Rab-18-like, with no coding region annotated. The transcript has a single exon. The record is from RefSeq and is a predicted model, not a curated record. NCBI's taxonomy places the organism in Eukaryota, Metazoa, Chordata, Mammalia, Artiodactyla, Hippopotamidae.
AGGAAGGUGGCCCCGGCGGGGCGGGGCGCAUGCGCGGCAGCUCCGCCUGGGGAAGGGCUGAGAGGCGGAGCGGGGCGGCCAGCUGCGCGCGGAGCCGAGCAGGGUCAGGAUGGACGAGGACGUGCUGACCACCCUGAAGAUCCUCAUCAUGGGCGAGAGUGGCGUGGGCAAGUCCAGCCUGCUCUUGAGGUUCACAGAUGAUACUUUUGACCCAGAACUUGCAGCAACAAUAGGUGUUGACUUUAAGGUGAAAACAAUUUCAGUGGAUGGAAAUAAGGCUAAACUUGCAAUAUGGGACACUGCUGGUCAAGAAAGGUUCAGAACAUUAACUCCCAGCUAUUAUAGAGGUGCACAGGGUGUUAUAUUAGUUUAUGAUGUCACGAGAAGAGUCACCUUUGUUAAACUGGAUAAUUGGUUAAAUGAGUUGGAAACAUACUGCACGAGAAAUGAUAUAGUAAACAUGCUAGUUGGAAAUAAAAUUGAUAAGGAAGAUCGUGAAGUUGACAGAAAUGAAGGCCUGAAGUUUGCAUGAAAGCAUUCUAUGUUGUUUAUAGAGGCAAGUGCAAAAACCUGUGAUGGUGUACAGUGUGCUUUUGAGGAACUUGUUGAAAAGAUCAUUCAGACGCCGGGACUGUGGGAAAGUGAGAACCAGAAUAAAGGAGUCAAACUGACACACAGGGAAGAAGGCCAAGGAGGAGGAGCCUGUGGUGGUUACUGUUCUGUGUUAUAGACUCUGGGAAAUUCCAUCUCUUGCAUAUUUGAUCAGAUAGUGUCAUCUUUCUGUAUAUAAACUCUUUAACUGCUAUUUUAGGGUCCUUGCAGUUUGCACAUAUUUGUUUUGUAUCAUGGCAGUAAAUAUUUGCAAGAAAUCCUGCUCAUUGACUUUUCCAGUUACAGCGUUAUGGUAAGCAUGCAGUUUGCAGUCUGCAGUUUUUUAUGUAACAUGAAAUAG